RNAcentral lists this ribosomal RNA (465 nucleotides) under uncultured bacterium. Its description in RNAcentral is "partial 16S ribosomal RNA". It matches the Rfam family "Bacterial small subunit ribosomal RNA", at positions 338 to 795 of the family's 1533-position model. The record is from RNAcentral.
CCUACGGGAGGUAGCAGUAGGGAAUCUUCCACAAUGGGCGAAAGCCUGAUGGAGCAACGCCGCGUGGGUGAAGAAGGUCUUCGGAUCGUAAAACCCUGUUGUUAGAGAAGAAAGUGCGUGAGAGUAACUGUUCACGUUUCGACGGUAUCUAACCAGAAAGCCACGGCUAACUACGUGCCAGCAGCCGCGGUAAUACGUAGGUGGCAAGCGUUAUCCGGAUUGAUUGGGCGUAAAGGGAACGCAGGCGGUCUUUUAAGUCUGAUGUGAAAGCGUUCGGCCUAACCGGAGUAGUGCAUUGGAAACUGGGAGACUUGAGGGCAGAAGAGGAGAGUGGAACUCGAUGUGUAGCGGUGAAAUGCGUAGAUAUAUGGAAGAACACCAGUGGCGAAAGCGGCUCUCUGGUCUGUAACUGACGCUGAGGUUCGAAAGCGUGGGUAGCAAACAGGAUUAGAUACCCGAGUAGUC